RNAcentral lists this ribosomal RNA (532 nucleotides) under uncultured bacterium. Its description in RNAcentral is "partial 16S ribosomal RNA". It matches the Rfam family "Bacterial small subunit ribosomal RNA", at positions 355 to 878 of the family's 1533-position model. The record is from RNAcentral.
UGGGGAAUUUUGGACAAUGGGCGAAAGCCUGAUCCAGCAAUGCCGCGUGUGUGAAGAAGGCCUUCGGGUUGUAAAGCACUUUUGUCCGGAAAGAAAUCCUUGGCUCUAAUACAGUCGGGGGAUGACGGUACCGGAAGAAUAAGCACCGGCUAACUACGUGCCAGCAGCCGCGGUAAUACGUAGGGUGCAAGCGUUAAUCGGAAUUACUGGGCGUAAAGCGUGCGCAGGCGGUUUGCUAAGACCGAUGUGAAAUCCCCGGGCUCAACCUGGGAACUGCAUUGGUGGCUGGCAGGCUAGAGUAUGGCAGAGGGGGGCUAGAAUUCCACGUGUAGCAGUGAAAUGCGUAGAGAUGUGGAGGAAUACCGAUGGCGAAGGCAGCCCCCUGGGCCAAUACUGACGCUCAUGCACGAAAGCGUGGGGAGCAAACAGGAUUAGAUACCCUGGUAGUCCACGCCCUAAACGAUGUCAACUAGUUGUUGGGGAUUCAUUUUCCUUAGUAACGUAGCUAACGCGUGAAGUUGACCGCCUGGGG